AGGUGAAGCGCAUGUACAAGCAGCUGCGCCAGUUUAGCGCGAGACUGUAGGGUAGUAGGCAAGCCGCGAGCGCGUGACUGCAGCUGCUAGCCAAGUGAGCGUGCCACUACAGGACAUCAAACAACGACGACAGCAAGCAAAUGAUCCGUUCAGCAUGUGCUGCCUAUUCGAAGUCCCCUGGUACACUUUUUUUUCCUAAAAUUCUCAGAGUCCUUAUUUGUCGGGAAUUUUGGAUGGAGGGAGUAGUAUCUUGGGAUGAUGAGGAUACUCUGAUUGUUCAUGUUCCAUAAGUUUUGUUAUAUUGCAGUGAGAGUUUUUGAGAAUGUUCUUCUAUUUUUGUUCUCUCAAACUGGAUGUUAAUUUCUGAUUCAAAUUCUCCUGUGUUAUGCGUGUGCUCCUUGUGCAGAGUUGGCACAUUUCCUACAUUAUAUACCUACUUAUUCAUUUCAAGUUAUCUUUACUGAAUAUUUGUUUGUUUGUUUAUGAAACUGUUGUAUCAUUGUGGCCAUAAGUUAUUUUGGGGGAUAACUUUGGCUGCCGAUGAUUCGUUCAACAUGUCCUCGUGCUCUUCACAGGGAUCAUGUCCAGACUCACACUGGGCUCGUUGCUCGGCCUUAUUGAGCUAGAGAUCCUCCAACACAGCGGCACCGACACCAAGGCUCAGGCUAGGAUCACAUUGGUGUGGCUGGUUACAUGAAGGAAUGGAGAUGAGAACGUCAUAUACUCUAUCGUAUUCUCAAGUACCUCUGUAAUUUUGAACAUUCGAGCGUCUUUGGUGUAUGGUGGUGAAUUUUUUUCUCGCUCGUAUCGGAAGUCUGCUAGAUUUUAAGUGUUUGAAAAGGAAAGAGAACAAACAAAAAUGGGUAUAGUCAGGAAUAAGGAAAAGCAUUGUGGAUGGGAUUCAUUCUUUUCUAUGGUUCACCUCGUUCUGGUGAUAUAUGAAAUGAUACAUCAGAUAAGUGGGAAGAGGAAGUAUAAUGCAAUGGAUAAUCAUAAAAAGUGAUCACUCUGGAGUAUCCUGUAUCUACCAUUUUUAUUUACUAGGGUAGAAUGCACUUUCAGUUUUGUCUUACCUAGUAAUCUUUACAGCGUGAAAGGAUCUCUAGCUAGUUGAUUAGCUGGUCUAAGUAGCACUCCUUAGGUUUUUAGUUUGACUCCCCGUGUAAAAAAAAUUAGGUUGGGUUAAAAAAUCUCCUGAUUUGUCCCAUGACAAACCAUUGUUCUAAGCCUCGACCCCGGUAAUGUCUUGGUCAUUCUCAAAUGGGCUACGAUGUCGCUGCUACGCCAAAGCAUAGGUCUAAGACUCGACCCUGGUGCGGUAUUUUAGCAUCCCCUUUUUAGUUUCAACAGUGUAUUGCUGUUGUCCCUCAAGUGUUGUUUAUUAUUUACUUUGUUUGUUGCAGCUGCCAGCCUUCCAGUUGUUCAAAAGCAACACCAGCUUCAUGUCACCCUAUUGUUGUGUAAUGUUGCUGCCAUGGAGGCACUUCCUAUAUUUUUGAUAGAAUGUUUCAUCAUGUUCUUUUUGUAUUAUUGUCAGCGACAUUUGUUCUUGCCUUUGGAGAGGGAUCAUGUCUAGGCUCACAACGGGGCUCAUGUUGCUCGGCCUCGUCGAGCUGGAGAUCCUCAAAUGUAGCAGCAAAAGCAUCUCAGGAGACCAUUAAUAGUAUGAAGAGAUCGAUCGAAGAAAAUAACCUCCUUCAUCAACUAUUAAGCUUCAAUCGAGGCCAAGUGCCUCCAUCUUAAGUCUAACUAACCACUAUAGGGCCUACAACCUUAUGGCUGUUAUAGUAGCUUGUUACAGUAGCUCUAGAUUUGAAGUUAUAUGAUUAUUUCAAUUAUGCUUAAUGUAUAAUACUUUGAGUUGAAGUUAUAGGAUUUGAUUUGGAUUUUAAGUUAAAGAAUUUGCAGAUAUAUGUUUUGAAGUUAUAUAAUUCUCUCAUGGAUGAAAUAUUUGUGUUCAACAUAUUCA
Molecule: long non-coding RNA, 1969 nt
Organism: Zea mays
Lineage: Eukaryota; Viridiplantae; Streptophyta; Magnoliopsida; Poales; Poaceae
Exons: 6
Source: RefSeq, a predicted model, not a curated record